This 465-nucleotide ribosomal RNA is filed under the name uncultured bacterium. Its description in RNAcentral is "partial 16S ribosomal RNA". It matches the Rfam family "Bacterial small subunit ribosomal RNA", at positions 28 to 507 of the family's 1533-position model. The record is from RNAcentral.
GACGAACGCUGGCGGCGUGCUUAACACAUGCAAGUCGAACGGAAAGGCCCCAGUUUGCUGGGGUACUCGAGUGGCGAACGGGUGAGUAACACGUGGGUGAUCUGCCCUGCACUCUGGGAUAACCCUGGGAAACUGGGCCUAAUACCGGAUAGGACCGUGCUCUAGCGUGUGCGGUGGAAAGUUUUUCGGUGCUGGAUGAGCACGCGGCCUAUCAGCUUGUUGGUGGGGUAAUGGCCUACCAAGGCGGCGACGGGUAGCCGGCCUGAGAGGGUGUACGGCCACAUUGGGACUGAGACACGGCCCAGACUCCUACGGGAGGCAGCAGUGGGGAAUAUUGCACAAUGGGCGGAAGCCUGAUGCAGCGACGCCGCGUGGGGGAUGACGGCCUUCGGGUUGUAAACCGCUUUCGGCAGGGACGAAGCUUUUGUGACGGUAGUUGGAUAAGAAGCACCGGCUAACUACGUG